AAGUCGUAACAAGGUUUCCGUAGGUGAACCUGCGGAAGGAUCAUUAAAAGUGAUUGGUUAUACAUUUCAUGUAUCAACUGCAUAAACCCAUUCCGAGUAUCUUGCCUGUUGCUUCCAUGGGGCCCGACCUCGGUCACUCUUGUGAUGUGAAAUCCAAGAGAGUCCCCAUGGGAGGUAAUCAUUAAAUUCAUGUAUCCAAUGUCUUCUGUCUGAACUGUUUAUGACAAAUGUUAAAACUUUCAACAACGGAUCUCUUGGUUCUCGCAUCGAUGAAGAACGCAGCGAAAUGCGAUAAGUAGUGUGAAUUGCAGAAUUCAGUGAAUCAUCGAAUCUUUGAACGCACAUUGCGCCUCCUGGUAUUCCGGGAGGCAUGCCUGUUCGAGCGUCAUUAAAUACCUCUCAAGCAUAUUUGCUUGGUCAUGGAAGAUGAGUAUGGUUGCAUUCUCCCUUCUGAAAUUCAAAGGCGGAUGAUCUCAUAUCCCCAGGUGUAGUAAGUUUAUCUUUUCGCUUGGUGUGUGUUAUUGUCCUGCCGUUGACCCCCANUUUUUUUUUAAGGUUGACCUCGGAUCAGGUAGGGAUACCCGCUGAACUUAAGCAUAUCGAUAAGCGGAGGAAAAGAAACCAACAGGGAUUGCCUUAGUAGCUGCGAGUGAAGCGNCAAAAGCUCAAAUUUGAAAUCUGGCGUCCUCGGCGUCCGAAUUGUAAUUNGGAGAGGCAACUUCGGUGAUGGUGCCGUCCUAAGUCCCUUGGANCAGGAUGACAUAGAGGGUGAGAUCCCCGUGCCUGGAUGGCUGACCAUCUCCAUGUGAAUUGCCUUCGAAGAGUCGAGUUGUUUGGGAAUGCAGCUCAAAAUGGGUGGUAAAUUUCAUCUAAAGCUAAAUAUUGGCGAGAGACCGAUAGCGCACAAGUAGAGUGAUCGAAAGAUGAAAAGCACUUUGAAAAGAGAGUUAAAAAGUACGUGAAAUUGUUGAAAGGGAAGCGCUUGAGACCAGACUCGAUUUGUGGUGAUCAGCUGUGCUUCUGUACGGUGCACUCGCCAUGGAUCGGGCCAGCAUCGGUUCUGACGGUGGGAUAAAAGGUUGAGGAAUGUGUCUUCCUUCGGGGAGUGUUAUAGCCUCACUCACAAUGCCACCAGCUGGGACCGAGGACCGCGCUUCGGCUAGGAUGCUGGCGUAAUGGUCUUAAGCGACC
This 1191-nucleotide ribosomal RNA is filed under the name uncultured fungus. RNAcentral's name for it is "eukaryotic LSU rRNA". The stretch from base 558 to 1191 matches the Rfam family "Eukaryotic large subunit ribosomal RNA", at positions 1 to 649 of the family's 3401-position model. The record is from RNAcentral. Lineage: Eukaryota; Fungi.